RNAcentral lists this ribosomal RNA (442 nucleotides) under uncultured bacterium. RNAcentral describes it as "partial 16S ribosomal RNA". It matches the Rfam family "Bacterial small subunit ribosomal RNA", at positions 338 to 795 of the family's 1533-position model. The record is from RNAcentral.
UCUACGGGAUGCUGCAGUGGGGGAUAUUGGACAAUGAGGGGAACCCUGAUCCAGCGACGCCGCGUGCGUGCAGAAGUAUCUCGGUAUGUAAAGCUCUAUCAGCAGGGAAGCAGAAAUGACGGUACCUGAGUAAGACGCCCCGGCUAACUACGUGCCAGCAUCCGCGGUAUUACGUAGGGGGCAAGCGUUAUCUGGAAUUACUGGGUGUAAAGUGAGCGUAGACGGUGAGGUAAGUAUGGAGGGAAAGGCGGGGGCCCAAACACCGGACUGCUGGGGACACCAUGUAACUGGAGUGCAGGAGAGGUGAGCGGAAUGCCUAGUGUAGCGGUGAAAUGCGUAGAUAUUAGGAGGAACACCAGUGGCGAAGGCGGCUCACUGGACUGUAACUGACGUUGAGGCUCGAAAGCGUGGGGAGCAAACAGGAUUAGAUACCCGAGUAGUC